CAGCCGCCGCGGGAAUACAGAGGGUGCGAGCGUUAAUCGGAUUUACUGGGCGUAAAGCGUGCGCAGGCGGUUAUAUAAGACAGAUGUGAAAUCCCCGGGCUCAACCUGGGAACUGCAUUUGUGACUGUAUAGCUAGAGUACGGCAGAGGGGGAUGGAAUUCCGCGUGUAGCAGUGAAAUGCGUAGAUAUGCGGAGGAACACCGAUGGCGAAGGCAAUCCCCUGGGCCUGUACUGACGCUCAUGCACGAAAGCGUGGGGAGCAAACAGGAUUAGAUACCCCAGUAGUCCCUGUCUCUUAUAC
This 301-nucleotide ribosomal RNA is filed under the name uncultured bacterium. RNAcentral's name for it is "partial 16S ribosomal RNA". It matches the Rfam family "Bacterial small subunit ribosomal RNA", at positions 509 to 807 of the family's 1533-position model. The record is from RNAcentral.